AGGCCAGUAGCUCUAAUUGGUAGAGCAUCGGACUCCAAAUCCGAGGGUUGUAGGUUCGAGCCCUACCUGGCCUGCCA
RNAcentral lists this transfer RNA (77 nucleotides) under Deltaproteobacteria bacterium. Its description in RNAcentral is "tRNA-Trp". It matches the Rfam family "tRNA". Rfam says of the family: Transfer RNA (tRNA) molecules are approximately 80 nucleotides in length. Their secondary structure includes four short double-helical elements and three loops (D, anti-codon, and T loops). Lineage: Bacteria; Pseudomonadati; Myxococcota; Myxococcia. The record is from RNAcentral.